Molecule: long non-coding RNA, 975 nt
Filed under: Equus caballus (horse)
Lineage: Eukaryota; Metazoa; Chordata; Mammalia; Perissodactyla; Equidae
Description: lncRNA (ENSECAG00000046172.1)
Source: RNAcentral
AGCAGCCCCUGGAGGGCGGGCGGCCGCUGCGCCGGGCGACCCAGGUGCCGCAGCGCCGGGGCUGUGCGCCCUGGCCCCGGCCUCCGGACCCCGCUCACCGCCGUGGCGCGCCCCCGGGAUUCCGUCCCCCACACGGGGAGCGCUCCCUAAAGGGGGGUCUCCGCGUUUCUGAGCUGCGUCAGGGCCCGCGUACUGCCGCCUCCCCCGGGGUACACUAGCCUAGGUUCUGGAGGGUGAAGUCAGCCCCGCUGAGUGAGAAGAGGCUUGAAUCAUCAGUUACCUGGUCGUCUUGGGGCUGCUGUAGUAUGCAGUGAGAUACGGUUGUUUAUGUAAAGAACUUAGCUCAAGGCCCGGCACGCUCCAGACAGGUGAGCUGCCAUCACCCUCGACUGCCGCGGCUGCUCCCACCACCACUACUUCAUCAUCAUCACGGAGUCUUGGUUGCCUUGCUAGUGAAGCCAAGGAGUUCAGGGGUUGCUGUAGACGAUCUCCAUGUUUCCUCGCAGCUGCAACUUUCCAACGUCUACCUCAACACUGAUCACUCUACUCAAAUCUAGGGGGUACCUGCUGGAGUUUAUUGAAUCAGCUGGGGCAGGCCCUUUAGGGAGAAAAAGAGAAUGCUGCUUGCUCAGCCACAAUGAUUGCAUUGAUAUAGCCUGCCACCGGCACAAAAAAAUAUAGCCCAAGAAGUCAAGGAAUCAGAAGAGAGAAACAUUCUUUUUAAACACAUAUUUAAAAUUUGUCAUCCACGAACAGUAAUCUGAGAGAAUGAGCAAUCUCCGAAAAGAGGCUAAAAUCUUCUGAAGACUGAAGAUCUCAGAGCAUUGCAAGUUGAAGCGAGGGGCCUACCUGGCACAAACAUUCACUUAUUAUUCCAACCCUUACCUCCUGAGCAUUCCAGGGCUGACAGCCUGGGGGCCAGCAGGGUGGAUGGCAGUCCUGGUCCAGCCUUUCCAGGCCCUGAGGGUGGCAAAC